GUUGUUGCAGUUAAAAAGCUCGUAGUCGGAUUUUGGCUGAGAACGGUCGGUCCGCCGUUAGGUGUGCACUGACUGGUCUCAGCUUCCUGGUGAGGAGGUGUGCUUC
RNAcentral lists this ribosomal RNA (106 nucleotides) under uncultured marine eukaryote. RNAcentral describes it as "partial 18S ribosomal RNA". The record is from RNAcentral.